GCACGGGUGGACAUCCGUACAUGUAACAGGGUGGAACGAAAAAAUAAAUAAAAGAUCAGGCACUUUUUACAAGAUAUGUUAAGACUUGUUGGAGACUCCAUGAUGAGACUGCAAGGCUAGCUGACCUAAAAACAGAGCUAGAUUGUACAGAUGGAGUGGUUUCACAGUGGCUAUCUGAUGUAAAGGAAUGGGCAGCAGGUGACAGCAGCAAGUUUGCCUUCGAAGGAAGCUGGCAGAAGACAAAAAAACUCCUCCUUCAGGAGAUACAAAAAUACAGUGAUCUCGUACUAGAAUCAGCAACAAUCAUUGAGUACGUUUACAUGCACAGAAUAAGCGGAUAACUAUUAAAAAUCUGCUUACUAUAGAAAACUGUUUUCAUGUGUUUACAUGCAAAUCAAUAAGCCGGCUAUGCAGUCAACUGCGUUUACAUGGGACUUGGAGAAUUAUCAGUUUUCUCGCAGGCAGUGACGUCACCACCUAUAGUACACAAUAGUCGAUCAAAAAGCCGACGGCAUAUCUGUCUUAAGCUAUAUUGUUGUAUCUCUUCUCUUGUCUGCAGAACCUGUAAAUGUAACAUGAGCUGCUAUUUUAACAGUUUCUCUGCCAACUGCUUUAGUCGAGCGGAGACUUUUAUGCAUUACUUUGCACUUACUUCCGCGUGUGACGUUUAUCUUUCAUACGCGGAGAUAUGCGCACAUGGACAAAACCGUGAGAAAGCCGGUUAAGGUGUUUACAUGCCAAGUGAAAUCGGCGUAAUGAGCAAAAAACUACCUGUGCCGAUCGGUUUUUGCUUACGCCGUUUACGGGCUUUCCCCGAUUAAAGAAAACCGCUUUACGCGUUUACAUGACACCACGUGUUAUCAGUUUAUUAAGCAUAAUCGGCGUAAGACUGUGCAUGUAAACGCACUCAUUGACGUAGCUGUGGUGGAGCAUUCCCUUACCGGAAAGAGUACUGUGGUAUGUCUGUUUUUAGAUGCUUCACAGUAAUUUAUUUACAGUUAUGCUUUAUAGAGUAUACUGAACUAAGGCAUGCAUGUUACAUAUUGAGUGUUGUAAUAUUAAUUUAGUAUUUUCAGUUUUCUUAUGUAUCAAUUUGAUAAA
This is a long non-coding RNA of Paramisgurnus dabryanus, 1101 nucleotides long. RefSeq lists it as uncharacterized. The record is from RefSeq and is a predicted model, not a curated record. Lineage: Eukaryota; Metazoa; Chordata; Actinopteri; Cypriniformes; Cobitidae.